This 439-nucleotide ribosomal RNA is filed under the name uncultured bacterium. Its description in RNAcentral is "partial 16S ribosomal RNA". It matches the Rfam family "Bacterial small subunit ribosomal RNA", at positions 339 to 795 of the family's 1533-position model. The record is from RNAcentral.
CUACGGGCGGCAGCAGUGAGGAAUAUUGCACAAUGGAGGAAACUCUGAUGCAGCAACGCCGCGUGGAGGAUGACACUUUUCGGAGCGUAAACUCCUUUUAUAUAGGAAGAAGAUGAUGGUACUAUAUGAAUAAGCGCCGGCUAACUCCGUGCCAGCAGCCGCGGUAAUACGGAGGGCGCAAGCGUUACUCGGAAUCACUGGGCGUAAAGAGCGUGUAGGCGGAUUAAAAAGUCAGAAGUGAAAUCCUAUAGCUUAACUAUAGAACUGCUUCUGAAACUCUUAAUCUAGAAUAUGGGAGAGGUAGAUGGAAUUUCUGGUGUAGGGGUAAAAUCCGCAGAGAUCAGAAGGAAUACCGAUUGCGAAGGCGAUCUACUAGAACAGUAUUGACGCUGAGACGCGAAAGCGUGGGGAGCAAACAGGAUUAGAUACCCUCGUAGUC